Molecule: ribosomal RNA, 770 nt
Filed under: uncultured bacterium
Lineage: Bacteria
Description: bacterial SSU rRNA
Rfam family: Bacterial small subunit ribosomal RNA
Source: RNAcentral
AGAGUUUGAUCCUGGCUCAGGACGAACGCUGGCGGCGUGCUUAACACAUGCAAGUCGAGCGGAAAGGCCCUUCGGGGUACUCGAGCGGCGAACGGGUGAGUAACACGUGAGCAAUCUGCCCUUAGCUCUGGGAUAGCUCCGGGAAACCGGGAUUAAUACCAGAUACGACCACUUUAGACAUCUGCUGUGGUGGAAAGAAUUUCGGCUAGGGAUGAGCUCGCGGCCUAUCAGCUUGUUGGUGGGGUAACGGCCUACCAAGGCGACGACGGGUAGCCGGCCUGAGAGGGCGACCGGCCACACUGGGACUGAGACACGGCCCAGACUCCUACGGGAGGCAGCAGUGGGGAAUAUUGCGCAAUGGGCGAAAGCCUGACGCAGCGACGCCGCGUGGGGGAUGAAGGCCUUCGGGUUGUAAACCCCUUUCAGCAGGGACGAAGCGAAAGUGACGGUACCUGCAGAAGAAGCGCCGGCUAACUACGUGCCAGCAGCCGCGGUAACACGUAGGGCGCAAGCGUUGUCCGGAAUUAUUGGGCGUAAAGAGCUCGUAGGCGGUCUGUUGCGUCCGCUGUGAAAACUCGGGGCUUAACCCCGAGCCUGCAGUGGAUACGGGCAGACUAGAGGUAGGUAGGGGAGAAUGGAAUUCCCGGUGUAGCGGUGAAAUGCGCAGAUAUCGGGAGGAACACCGGUGGCGAAGGCGGUUCUCUGGGCCUUACCUGACGCUGAGGAGCGAAAGCGUGGGGAGCGAACAGGAUUAGAUACCCCGGUAGUCC